Molecule: ribosomal RNA, 119 nt
Organism: Bison bison bison
Lineage: Eukaryota; Metazoa; Chordata; Mammalia; Artiodactyla; Bovidae
Source: Ensembl
GUCUAUGGCCAUACCACCCUGAACAUGUCUGAUCUUGUCUAAUCCCAGAAGCUAAGCAGAGUCGGAGCUGGUUUGUACUUGGAUGGGAGGCUGCCUGGGAAUACUAUGUGCUGUAGACU